Molecule: long non-coding RNA, 902 nt
Organism: Xiphophorus couchianus (Monterrey platyfish)
Lineage: Eukaryota; Metazoa; Chordata; Actinopteri; Cyprinodontiformes; Poeciliidae
Exons: 2
Source: RefSeq, a predicted model, not a curated record
GCUUCAUUGGUCCUUUUGAGAUCACUUCUGUCCGCAGCCCCUCUGCAGUUCGUCUCCGGCUUCCUGUGGGGUUAAAGAUCCACCCUGUUUUCCAUGUUUCCCUCAUCAAGCCAGUCCGUUCUAGUUCUCUUUGCCCUCCUUCCGAGCCUCCGCCGCCUGCCCAGGAUAUAGAUGGUCAUCCGGCAUACGACGUUUCGGCUAUCCUGGAUGUUCGCCGGCGUGGGCGAGGAGUUCAGUAUCUGGUGGACUGGCGGGGUUAUGGUCCUGAGGAGCGGUCAUGGGUUCCCCGUUCCAUUAUUUUGGAUCCCGAACUUAUUAGGGACUUCGAGGCAUCUCGUGGUUCAUCAUCUUCCCGACCACCGGGUGGCGGUCUUUGAAGGGGGGGUAGUGUCAGAGUUUCGGUGUGAGAGCGUGUGCAUGAGAGUGUGAGUGCGAGUGUUACAUCUUCUUUCAGCGAGGAUCUUCGUGAGGGGUCUGUGGAGCCAGCGCAGGUGAAGCUGAUCUGCCUCAUCAGCGUGCUGGAAUAUAGGAGCGGCAGAAUCCUUCAGUCUUCGCUAGAUGGUUAACGCAUACCAAACUUGCCGAGAAUACCUGCCUGCCUGCUCCGCCGUUUCCACCGACCCCCCUCUCGCUCCUACCACCCGCGAUCCCGCCUUGCACUCUCCCUCGGCACCGUAGCACUCCCUCGCGCCGGACCCUGGCACCUCACCCCCACGCUCUGGAAGAUCCACGCCAAAAUGUAAGAAAGUUCCUGAUUCCUCCUCUACACUCUCUCACUCCGAGCCCAUUAUAAUUCAGCUCUUGUUUCAGGCCACCUGGUCGGGCGACCCUCGCCCUCCUGCCGAAGUCCAGAGAACUGAAUAUAAUUUGUCCUGUUGUAAAUAAAUCACUUACCUUUUCCA